RNAcentral lists this ribosomal RNA (370 nucleotides) under uncultured bacterium. Its description in RNAcentral is "bacterial SSU rRNA". It matches the Rfam family "Bacterial small subunit ribosomal RNA", at positions 527 to 896 of the family's 1533-position model. The record is from RNAcentral.
GUAGGGUGCGAGCGUUAAUCGGAAUUACUGGGCGUAAAGCGUGCGCAGGCGGUUUUGUAAGCCAGAUGUGAAAUCCCCGGGCUUAACCUGGGAAUGGCAUUUGGGACUGCAAGGCUCGAGUGCGGCAGAGGAGACUGGAAUUCCUGGUGUAGCAGUGAAAUGCGUAGAUAUCAGGAGGAACACCGAUGGCGAAGGCAGGUCUCUGGGCUGACACUGACGCUCAUGCACGAAAGCGUGGGGAGCAAACAGGAUUAGAUACCCUGGUAGUCCACGCCCUAAACGAUGUCGACUGGUUGUUGGGGGUUUGACACUCUCAGUAACGAAGCUAACGCGUGAAGUCGACCGCCUGGGGAGUACGGCCGCAAGGCUA